CGUCGAGCGGCGGACGGGUGAGUAAUGCAUAGGAAUCUGCCCGGUAGUGGGGGAUAACCUGGGGAAACCCAGGCUAAUACCGCAUACGUCCUACGGGAGAAAGCGGGGGCUCUUCGGACCUCGCGCUAUCGGAUGAGCCUAUGUCGGAUUAGCUUGUUGGUGAGGUAAUGGCUCACCAAGGCGACGAUCCGUAGCUGGUCUGAGAGGAUGAUCAGCCACAUCGGGACUGAGACACGGCCCGAACUCCUACGGGAGGCAGCAGUGGGGAAUAUUGGACAAUGGGCGAAAGCCUGAUCCAGCCAUGCCGCGUGUGUGAAGAAGGCUUUCGGGUUGUAAAGCACUUUCAGUGAGGAAGAAAGCCUUGGGGCUAAUACCCCCAAGGGACGACAUCACUCACAGAAGAAGCACCGGCUAACUCCGUGCCAGCAGCCGCGGUAAUACGGAGGGUGCGAGCGUUAAUCGGAAUUACUGGGCGUAAAGCGCGCGUAGGCGGCGUGAUAAGCCGGUUGUGAAAGCCCCGGGCUCAACCUGGGAACGGCAUCCGGAACUGUCAGGCUAGAGUGCAGGAGAGGAAGGUAGAAUUCCCGGUGUAGCGGUGAAAUGCGUAGAGAUCGGGAGGAAUACCAGUGGCGAAGGCGGCCUUCUGGACUGACACUGACGCUGAGGUGCGAAAGCGUGGGUAGCAAACAGGAUUAGAUACCCUGGUAGUCCACGCCGUAAACGAUGUCGACUAGCCGUUGGGGUCCUAGAGACCUUUGUGGCGCAGUUAACGCGAUAAGUCGACCGCCUGGGGAGUACGGCCGCAAGGUUAAAACUCAAAUGAAUUGACGGGGGCCCGCACAAGCGGUGGAGCAUGUGGUUUAAUUCGAUGCAACGCGAAGAACCUUACCUACCCUUGACAUCGUGCGAACUUGGUAG
Molecule: ribosomal RNA, 918 nt
Filed under: Halomonas fontilapidosi
Lineage: Bacteria; Pseudomonadati; Pseudomonadota; Gammaproteobacteria; Oceanospirillales; Halomonadaceae
Description: bacterial SSU rRNA
Rfam family: Bacterial small subunit ribosomal RNA
Source: RNAcentral